Molecule: ribosomal RNA, 484 nt
Filed under: uncultured bacterium
Lineage: Bacteria
Description: partial 16S ribosomal RNA
Rfam family: Bacterial small subunit ribosomal RNA
Source: RNAcentral
AUUGAACGCUGGCGGCAGGCCUAACACAUGCAAGUCGAGCGGAUGAAGGGAGCUUGCUCCUGGAUUCAGCGGCGGACGGGUGAGUAAUGCCUAGGAAUCUGCCUGGUAGUGGGGGAUAACGUCGGGAAACGGGGGCUAAUCCCGCAUACGUCCUGAGGGGGAAGGUGGGGAAUCUUCGGACCUCACGCUAUAAGAUGACCCUAGGUCGGAUUAGCUAGUUGGUGGGGUAAAGGCCUACCAAGGCGACGAUCCGUAACUGGUCUGAGAGGAUGAUCAGUCACACUGGAACUGAGACACGGUCCAGACUCCUACGGGAGGCAGCAGUGGGGAAUAUUGGACAAUGGGCGAAAGCCUGAUCCAGCCAUGCCGCGUGUGUGAAGAAGGUCUUCGGAUUGUAAAGCACUUUAAGUUGGGAGGAAGGGCAGUAAGUUAAUACCUUGCUGUUUUGACGUUACCAACAGAAUAAGCACCGGCUAACUUCGUG